AUUGAACGCUGGCGGCAGGCCUAACACAUGCAAGUCGAACGGUAACAGGAAGAAGCUUGCUUCUUUGCUGACGAGUGGCGGACGGGUGAGUAAUGUCUGGGAAACUGCCUGAUGGAGGGGGAUAACUACUGGAAACGGUAGCUAAUACCGCAUAACGUCGCAAGACCAAAGAGGGGGACCUUCUGGCCUCUUGCCAUCGUAUGUGCCCAGAUGGGAUUAGCUAGUAGGUGGGGUAACGGCUCACCUAGGCGACGAUCCCUAGCUGGUCUGAGAGGAUGACCAGCCACACUGGAACUGAGACACGGUCCAGACUCCUACGGGAGGCAGCAGUGGGGAAUAUUGCACAAUGGGCGCAAGCCUGAUGCAGCCAUGCCGCGUGUAUGAAGAAGGCCUUCGGGUUGUAAAGUACUUUCAGCGGGAAGGAAGGGAGUAAAGUUAAUACCUUUGCGCAUUGACGUUACCCGAAGAAGAAGCACCGGCUAACUCCGUG
This 490-nucleotide ribosomal RNA is filed under the name uncultured bacterium. RNAcentral's name for it is "partial 16S ribosomal RNA". It matches the Rfam family "Bacterial small subunit ribosomal RNA", at positions 30 to 507 of the family's 1533-position model. The record is from RNAcentral.